RNAcentral lists this long non-coding RNA (1628 nucleotides) under Solanum pimpinellifolium. RNAcentral's name for it is "long non-coding RNA (SPIM_LNC000245)". The record is from RNAcentral. Lineage: Eukaryota; Viridiplantae; Streptophyta; Magnoliopsida; Solanales; Solanaceae.
GUGUUUGUUCAUGUGCCCUUUGGAUUAUUGGAGAGUAUUGUGUAUCUCUUUCUGAAGUUGAGAGUGGCAUUGCAACUAUCAAGCAGUGCCUUGGAGACCUACCAUUUUAUUCAGCUUCCGAGGAAGGUGAAGCUAAUGAUUCUUCGAAAAAGUCUCAGCAAAUAAACUCCACUACUGUUUCAUCUAGAAGACCUGCUGUCCUUGCUGAUGGGACAUACGCUACUCAAAGUGCUGCCUCUGAAACUGCUUUUUCACCCCCGACAGUAGUUCAAGGAUCUUUGACCGCUGGAAAUCUGAGAUCCCUCCUGUUAACUGGUGAUUUCUUCCUUGGGGCAGUUGUUGCUUGCGCCCUGACUAAGCUCAUUUUAAGAUUGGAAGAAGUUCAACCAUCCAAAGUUGAAGUGAACAAAGCAACAACUAAUGCAUUACUGAUCAUUGUCUCAAUGAUACAGCUUGGGCAGUCUUCAGCUCUUCCACACCCAAUUGAUAAUGAUUCCUAUGAUAGGAUGGUUCUAUGUGUAAGAUUGCUAUGUAACACUGGCAAUGAGGUUAGGAAGAUCUGGUUGAACUCUUGCCAUGAGAGUUUUGUUAAAAUGCUUUCUGAUAAGCAGAUGCGAGAGACAGAAGAGAUCAAAGCAAAGGCUCAAAUUUCUCAUUCUCAGCCUGAUGACCUGAUUGAUUUCUACCAUUUGAAGAGUAGGAGGGUAAGCACCCUUCUAUGUGAACAUUUCAAUUCAUUUUUAAACAAGGAAAGAAAGAAUCUUCUAUCUGAGUAUGUGUUUGAUUAACAAGGAGUCACAUGUAGCUCUUUUCUCACACUUCAGUUAAUAUAUUUGUUAAAACUAUCUUAACUGACCAAAAAUUGUAUUAUGAGCUUGUCUUUGUGUAAUGUCACUGGUGUCUACUUUGUGCUGUGUGGGCGUUGCACUGAUGCAGAUUUCUUUGCUAUUUUGUCUCAUCUUUCCACCUUUACUGUCUCAACUCUCUAAGAAAUGUGUUUUAAGUGCUAUUUUCAACAUUUUAUUCCAGCUUUUCCAGAGCUUUUAAGUUAUACUUUUUGUUUCUUUGACUACUGUUUCAAUCACAUUAAGAGAGUCAUUCAUGUUACAUUGCAUGAGUUUCUUUUAGCAUCAAUUUCAAAAUUUGAUUGGAUAUGAAGACUUUCUGNCUUGGGAGAUAACAAUGUCGCUUCUGCAAUUGAUGUGGUCGUUUUUGUCCGUGAGAUUAUUGAAACAAAUCCAAAAUUAAGGGUUUCCAUUGUUACAAGGCUACUGGAUACUUUCUACCAAAUUCGAGCUGCACGUGUUUGUUCAUGUGCCCUUUGGAUUAUUGGAGAGUAUUGUGUAUCUCUUUCUGAAGUUGAGAGUGGCAUUGCAACUAUCAAGCAGUGCCUUGGAGACCUACCAUUUUAUUCAGCUUCCGAGGAAGGUGAAGCUAAUGAUUCUUCGAAAAAGUCUCAGCAAAUAAACUCCACUACUGUUUCAUCUAGAAGACCUGCUGUCCUUGCUGAUGGGACAUACGCUACUCAAAGUGCUGCCUCUGAAACUGCUUUUUCACCCCCGACAGUAGUUCAAGGAUCUUUGACCGCUGGAAAUCUGAGAUCCCUCCUGUUAACUGGUGAUUUCUUC